Molecule: long non-coding RNA, 1757 nt
Organism: Puntigrus tetrazona (Sumatra barb)
Lineage: Eukaryota; Metazoa; Chordata; Actinopteri; Cypriniformes; Cyprinidae
Exons: 5
Source: RefSeq, a predicted model, not a curated record
AAUAGUCCUCUGUGUUAUAGAGAUGAGUCAGAGGGAAUAUUGUUCAAAUGGUCUUGAGAUUUUUUUCUCACUCAUUCAUACAAAUGUCUACAGAAAGACACCCCUGCUCUUACACCCAUGCUCCCUCUUCUCUUUGUGUUUCACUUAAGCUCUCAUUUCUCCCCUCCUUUCUUUACAUGCUCUGCGUAAUCUGUUCUCUCAGGCCUGGAGAAGACGCAAAGGACCUAGGUGCCAGCCAGUUUGUAUAGGCCUCUCAGUGGGUGGCAUAGUCGGUUUUGCUGCUCCUCCCCCUGCCCUGUACUUCAUUGAUUUGCCAUUACACUAUUUUCAAGACAAGAUGUAGCAAUUUCAUUUAAGGACCAGAACUGCCCAACAACUGGAAUUUUGGGGACGAAACAAAAUCAGGAAGCUGAAGAUAGUUUGAGGCUGUAAUUGCAUCGCUGGAAAUAGCCGCUGCGUGAACUGACUCAUCUUCAAGGGUUGGAAAAUAUUACAGUGAAUCAUUGGUAAAUAACCUACAGAAUAAUAUGGAAUCUAUUUCCAAUCAUCAAUGCAGACUCCAGCGAGCUGAAUCACUGUCUGCCGCCUCCGUGAGCAGCUGUCCGCAGUAAUGGAAACUUAUCAGUGACUGUUUGGAGAUGAUUUUCUCAGGCACCAACUUCAUUGACAGUCACUCAAGCGUCAAAAAAACAUGUGACACAUACAGAAAACAACGCUCACAGCCCAUACUGACGGUAGCGUGACGUCAACUACUGGAGUCUAGGGAGAACAAUGUGGGAAUCUGUGGGAAACAGUGAUGGCGGAACGUGCUCUUUUCAUCCGGUCUGACUGUACAAAUGGACCUCAUUGUCUACGGAGAAAUUCGAUUUUCUGCCAUGCGCCAGCUCUACAUAAACUCCUCUCUGGGGUCUGAUGCCACCAUGCUCAGGCUUAUCAACAGCACUCAGUGUGUGAGAUUGAGUUCUGGCGCAUAUUAAACCAUGGGGAGACCAGGGACGAGAAUCAGAAAUACAGCAUAAUCCCUCUAGAGAUCCUCCUCUCGCUCACCACCCAUCUGCCUUCAUCUGGUACCGACUCGAUCCUUGGUCAGAAAAAAAAACUCCUAAAAACUCAUCCCGAUGAGCGCGCUCUUUUGAGUGUGUAAUUUGCUCCUUUAUCUUCUGUUCAGAGCCGGUCCCUAAAAUGAAGUCAUUAUCAUCGUUCCUAACAAAGCUCAAGCAUGGUAGGAGAAGCCGUCCUUCGUGGAUCCCUAAAGAGGCUGGAUAAAGGAGCUUCGCUAUCGGCUCUUCGGAGUGAGAUGGCUAAAACCGCACAUAAGCUCAAUCCACCUCCCUGCUGCGCUCCUGCUAAGCCGUUGCUAGGCAUGUUGGAGAAAAAGUGCUACCUUCACAUGCAUAGUGCUUUUAUUAUUAAAGAGAAGAUUGUAUUUGAAAUGGCACGUAAACACCGCUAUUACUCUUAAUGUUUUUGCAGUGCAUAAUCAGGGCUGUUGCUGAAUUACUAUUUUUAGGGUUCCCCACAUAAAAAAUAGAAUUUCAUCCAUUAAGUACUGUAUAUAACAAAGCAUACUGCCAUUAAUACUGUAUCAAACAUUGCACUGUGCUUGAUCUGAUGUCUGUUUAGUAACAGCAGCCGCGAUCCGUCAACUUUCUCAGCUUAUCAUGUGAUUAGAUUAAGAGGCUUUAGCCUAUAUAUUAUACUGUAGAGCAAAAAUUAGUUCGUACUCUGUAUUUUUUGUCUCAUUUUGCAGUUUUUAA